AAACAGUUGGUGCAAUAGUUUAAAUGUUUGUCCUCUCCCUAACACACGUUAAAAUUUAAUUGCCAUUGUCACAGUAUUAAGAGGAAGGACCUUUAAGAAGUGAUUAGGCCAUGGUGGUUCUUCCCUCAUGAAUAGAUCAAUGCUAUUAUCGUGGAAGUGGGCUUGUUAUUGCAGGAGUAGGUUCCUUACAAAAGGAUGAGUUCAGCCUCCUUUUGCCUCUUUCUCUCCCUCAUUCUCUUUUUGCCCUUCUUUCAUGGGAUGAUGCAGCAAGAAGGCCCUUGCCAGAUGCCAGCAACUUGAUAUUGAACUUCUCAUCCUCCAGAAUGGUUUGUUUUUCCUCUCUGUCAUACCUCAAGAGGAACACAAAGAGUGAUGGCCUGUCACUCUGAUGCCUCUCUCUACUCAAAUGGCAGAAACCAACCAGGUGAUGGCCACAGUGGCAGAACCUAGGAAGCCAAGAAGAAACCAGAGAAUGGAGACACAUGGCAGCAAUGGCAAGUCAUCAGACCCAGGAUUUCCCAAAGAACACUGGUCCAGGAAGAUGCUCUGUGAAAAAGUGUUCCCUGGUCGGAGAAAUUUGUGAAACACUUUGCAUAAUACUUAAAAGAAUGUAUGGCACAUCAAAGGUAAUAUGCAAUAAAAGAAUUCAUUUUUUUAAAACCAAGCAUAUGCACAACUUAUUUAACUAUGGAUUCGAUUUUUAGAUUCAUAUUUUUUGACCCACAUUUGUGGAGCCACAUCCAUAGAACAGAUUUGACCAUGCUUAUGGUUAUCAUUAAAAAAUUUUUUUAAAUUCAGAUUGAUUUUGGAAUUGGUUUCCCAUCAUAGUUCAA
Molecule: long non-coding RNA, 833 nt
Filed under: Homo sapiens (human)
Lineage: Eukaryota; Metazoa; Chordata; Mammalia; Primates; Hominidae
Description: HSALNT0251584
Source: RNAcentral